UUUCCGUAGGUGAACCUGCGGAAGGAUCAUUAUUGUAUAACCGAGGUGCGAGGGCUGUCGCUGACCCGAAAGGUCGUGCACGCCCGAGUGCCCUCACACACAUCCAUCUCACCCCUAUGUGCACCACCGCGUGGGUCCCCCUUUGGCUUGUUCGGAGGGGGGCUUACGCUUUCACACAAACUUUGUAUGCAGUGUAGAAUGUAUUUUUUGUUUUUGCGAUCACGCAAUCAAUACAACUUUCAACAACGGAUCUCUUGGCUCUU
This 263-nucleotide unclassified non-coding RNA is filed under the name plant metagenome. RNAcentral's name for it is "partial contains small subunit ribosomal RNA, internal transcribed spacer 1, and 5.8S ribosomal RNA". The record is from RNAcentral.